Molecule: ribosomal RNA, 222 nt
Filed under: uncultured Glomeromycotina
Lineage: Eukaryota; Fungi; Glomeromycota
Description: partial small subunit ribosomal RNA
Rfam family: Eukaryotic small subunit ribosomal RNA
Source: RNAcentral
AGCAGCCGCGGUAAUUCCAGCUCCAAUAGCGUAUAUUAAAGUUGUUGCAGUUAAAAAGCCGUAGUUGAAUUUCGGGAUCAAAGGAUCGGUCAUGCCUUGGUAUGUACUGGUUUUAUUGUUCUCACCUUCUAAAGAACCAUAAUGUCAUUCAUUUGAUGUUAUGGGGAAUUAGGACUGUACCUUGAAAAAAUUAGAGUGUUUAAAGCAGGCUUACGCUUGAAU